This 372-nucleotide unclassified non-coding RNA is filed under the name Hevea brasiliensis (rubber tree). Lineage: Eukaryota; Viridiplantae; Streptophyta; Magnoliopsida; Malpighiales; Euphorbiaceae. The record is from RNAcentral.
AUGAAAAUAUGGGGAAACAGUAGGCUCCUUUAAAUUAAAUCCACAGGUUGUCAAUAUAUAGUGUGCCAAUGUUGGAAUAACUGCGAAAAAGCAACACUAGAUCUCAUCUGAUAGCAACAUUUAAGAGGACAACCAUAAAUCUCAUAUAAUUGUGACUUUCAAAAGACAACUAUAUAGUUCUUUCUUUUGUGGGAAGGCUACAACUAUGAGGUUUCUACAUCAGUUUAAUGAUUUAAGACAUGAACAAGCUACAAAAUAACAGGUAAUCAAUAAAAACAAGUUCAAAUAUGUUUCAAACAAACAACAAAACAUACCAGUCUUUUCAGUAAUAAGGGAGGGGUGUGGACGUACAGAACUCUUCUUUCAUUGCAA